UACGUAGGUGGCAAGCGUUAACCGGAAUUAUUGGGCGUAAAGCGCGCGCAGGCGGCCUCAUAAGUCAGAUGUGAAAGCCCCCGGCUCAACCGGGGAAGGCCAUUGGAAACUGGGAGGCUUGAGUAUAGGAGAGAAGAGCGGAAUUCCACGUGUAGCGGUGAAAUGCGUAGAGAUGUGGAGGAACACCAGUGGCGAAGGCGACUCUGUGGCCUAUAACUGACGCUGAGGCGCGAAAGCUUGGGGAGCAAACAGG
This 253-nucleotide unclassified non-coding RNA is filed under the name uncultured Caryophanales bacterium. Its description in RNAcentral is "uncultured Bacillales bacterium contains 16S-23S intergenic spacer region". It matches the Rfam family "Bacterial small subunit ribosomal RNA", at positions 524 to 776 of the family's 1533-position model. Lineage: Bacteria; Bacillati; Bacillota; Bacilli; Caryophanales. The record is from RNAcentral.